This 113-nucleotide non-coding RNA is filed under the name Cryptococcus amylolentus CBS 6039. Its description in RNAcentral is "Bacterial small subunit ribosomal RNA". It matches the Rfam family "Bacterial small subunit ribosomal RNA", at positions 755 to 869 of the family's 1533-position model. Lineage: Eukaryota; Fungi; Basidiomycota; Tremellomycetes; Tremellales; Cryptococcaceae. The record is from Rfam by way of RNAcentral.
GAAAGCAAGAGCAUGUAACCGGAUUCGAUACCCGGAUACUUCUUGCCGUAAACGAUGCAGACUAUGAGAUCAGUAGAUAAACUAUUGGUUUUCGUUGCUAACGCCACCGUCGC